AGAUUGAACGCUGGCGGCAGGCCUAACACAUGCAAGUCGAGCGGUAGAGAGGUGCUUGCAUCUCUUGAGAGCGGCGGACGGGUGAGUAAUGCCUAGGAAUCUGCCUAGUGGUGGGGAUAACGUUCGGAAACGGACGCUAAUACCGCAUACGUCCUACGGGAGAAAGCGGGGGACCUUCGGGCCUCGCGCCAUUAGAUGAGCCUAGGUCGGAUUAGCUAGUUGGUGAGGUAAUGGCUCACCAAGGCGACGAUCCGUAACUGGUCUGAGAGGAUGAUCAGUCACACUGGAACUGAGACACGGUCCAGACUCCGUACGGGAGGCAGCAGUGGGGAAUAUUGGACAAUGGGACGAAAGCCUGAUCCAGCCAUGCCGCGUGUG
RNAcentral lists this ribosomal RNA (378 nucleotides) under uncultured soil bacterium. Its description in RNAcentral is "bacterial SSU rRNA". It matches the Rfam family "Bacterial small subunit ribosomal RNA", at positions 26 to 405 of the family's 1533-position model. The record is from RNAcentral.